This 497-nucleotide ribosomal RNA is filed under the name uncultured bacterium. RNAcentral describes it as "partial 16S ribosomal RNA". It matches the Rfam family "Bacterial small subunit ribosomal RNA", at positions 28 to 507 of the family's 1533-position model. The record is from RNAcentral.
GAUGAACGCUGGCGGCGUGCCUAAUACAUGCAAGUCGAGCGUACAGACGAGGAGCUUGCUCCUCUGACGUUAGCGGCGGACGGGUGAGUAACACGUGGAUAACCUACCUAUAAGACUGGGAUAACUUCGGGAAACCGGAGCUAAUACCGGAUAAUAUAUUGAACCGCAUGGUUCAAUAGUGAAAGACGGUUUUGCUGUCACUUAUAGAUGGAUCCGCGCCGCAUUAGCUAGUUGGUAAGGUAACGGCUUACCAAGGCAACGAUGCGUAGCCGACCUGAGAGGGUGAUCGGCCACACUGGAACUGAGACACGGUCCAGACUCCUACGGGAGGCAGCAGUAGGGAAUCUUCCGCAAUGGGCGAAAGCUUGACGGAGCAACGCCGCGUGAGUGAUGAAGGUCUUCGGAUCGUAAAACUCUGUUAUUAGGGAAGAACAAAUGUGUAAGUAACUAUGCACGUCUUGACGGUACCUAAUCAGAAAGCCACGGCUAACUACGUG